RNAcentral lists this non-coding RNA (155 nucleotides) under Streptomyces nodosus. The record is from RNAcentral. Lineage: Bacteria; Bacillati; Actinomycetota; Actinomycetes; Kitasatosporales; Streptomycetaceae.
GCCAUGCACCCGACACGCGGUACCGUCUCCUCGAAAUCGACGACGGCGAGACGGAAGCCGGUGAAAGUCCGGCACGGUCGCGCCACUGUGUACGAGCACCCCGUGCGGCGGGGUGGUUCGUGAGUCAGACCCGUGGCCGUCGUCCUGUGCACCAC